UGGCUCAGGACGAACGCUGGCGGCGUGCUUAACACAUGCAAGUCGAACGAUGAAGCCCUUCGGGGUGGAUUAGUGGCGAACGGGUGAGUAACACGUGGGCAAUCUGCCCUUCACUCUGGGACAAGCCCUGGAAACGGGGUCUAAUACCGGAUAACACCGGCUUCCGCAUGGAAGCUGGUUGAAAGCUCCGGCGGUGAAGGAUGAGCCCGCGGCCUAUCAGCUUGUUGGUGGGGUAAUGGCCCACCAAGGCGACGACGGGUAGCCGGCCUGAGAGGGCGACCGGCCACACUGGGACUGAGACACGGCCCAGACUCCUACGGGAGGCAGCAGUGGGGAAUAUUGCACAAUGGGCGAAAGCCUGAUGCAGCGACGCCGCGUGAGGGAUGACGGCCUUCGGGUUGUAAACCUCUUCAGCAGGGAAGAAGCGAAAGUGACGGUACCUGCAGAAGAAGCGCCGGCUAACUACGUGCCAG
RNAcentral lists this ribosomal RNA (473 nucleotides) under Streptomyces sp. Its description in RNAcentral is "bacterial SSU rRNA". It matches the Rfam family "Bacterial small subunit ribosomal RNA", at positions 20 to 511 of the family's 1533-position model. The record is from RNAcentral. Lineage: Bacteria; Bacillati; Actinomycetota; Actinomycetes; Kitasatosporales; Streptomycetaceae.